AGAAGAAACGUGCAGAGAAUGGCAGGAAGGAGAAUGUGCAGAAAGUCAAGGUGGAACCAGCCAGCUUUAGGUACUUCCCUCAUCCACCAGCCGGUCCAAGAAAUCAUCGUAGGCUCUUCCCUCCCCUUGGCAGAGAAGCCGCUGGUCGCUCCCAACAACAGACUUCCAGGCGACCACAUGCAGUGCCAGGGGAUCUGCAGC
Molecule: long non-coding RNA, 201 nt
Organism: Athene cunicularia (burrowing owl)
Lineage: Eukaryota; Metazoa; Chordata; Aves; Strigiformes; Strigidae
Exons: 3
Source: RefSeq, a predicted model, not a curated record